UUACAUAGAGAAUUUGCCUGAAGUCACAAAAUAUGGGCCUGCUACAAAGAAAGCCCGUACUGAACCUCUUUCAUUGUACAGUUGCUUAGAAGCCUUUUUACGUGAAGAGCCAUUGGUCCCUGAGGAUAUGUGGUUAGUUCCCUCCUGCUCUCAUUGCUCUUAUGGAAGCCUUUUUACGUGAAGAACCAUUGGUCCCUGAGGAUAUGUGGUUAGUUUCCUCCUGUUCUCAUUGCUCUUAUUGCCAAAAUUUUACACGAAAAAAAGGACAACUAUUUGCUCAUUAUAUGCCUGAUGUCUGCGCAUACCAUUC
Molecule: long non-coding RNA, 310 nt
Filed under: Nicotiana benthamiana
Lineage: Eukaryota; Viridiplantae; Streptophyta; Magnoliopsida; Solanales; Solanaceae
Description: long non-coding RNA (NBEN_LNC022479)
Source: RNAcentral